CCUACGGGAGGCAGCAGUGGGGAAUAUUGGACAAUGGGGGGAACCCUGAUCCAGCCAUGCCGCGUGUGUGAAGAAGGCCCUCGGGUUGUAAAGCACUUUCAGUGAGGAAGAACGCCUGGUGGUUAAUACCCAUCAGGAAAGACAUCACCCACAGAAGAAGCACCGGCUAACUCCGUGCCAGCAGCCGCGGUAAUACGGAGGGUGCGAGCGUUAAUCGGAAUUACUGGGCGUAAAGCGCGCGUAGGUGGCUUGAUAAGCCGGUUGUGAAAGCCCCGGGCUCAACCUGGGAACGGCAUCCGGAACUGUCAAGCUAGAGUGCAGGAGAGGAAGGUAGAAUUCCCGGUGUAGCGGUGAAAUGCGUAGAGAUCGGGAGGAAUACCAGUGGCGAAGGCGGCCUUCUGGACUGAGACUGACACUGAGGUGCGAAAGCGUGGGUAGCAAACAGGAUUAGAUACCCGAGUAGUC
Molecule: ribosomal RNA, 465 nt
Filed under: Vreelandella stevensii
Lineage: Bacteria; Pseudomonadati; Pseudomonadota; Gammaproteobacteria; Oceanospirillales; Halomonadaceae
Description: partial 16S ribosomal RNA
Rfam family: Bacterial small subunit ribosomal RNA
Source: RNAcentral